GGCCGAACCCACAGCAUAUGGAGUUUCCCAGGCUAGGGGUCAAAACCACCAGCCUCCAAACAGCUAAAGCAACUCAGGAUCCAAAACUCAUCUGCAAUCUACGUCACAGCUCAUGGCAAUGCCUGAUCCUUAACCCACUGAGCAAGGCCAGGGAUAGAACCUGCAACCUCAUGGUCACUAGUUGGAUUUGCUUACACUGCACCAUGAUGGGAACUCCAUCCAAGGAUAUUUUUAAUGUGAAUUCUCUGUAUCCACUGAAUUUACAACAGAUUGUAUAUAAAUCGCAACUGCAUUCUAGACAAAAUUAACUAGAGACCAAAUGGCAUCAUAAAUAUUACUGCUAGGUUUUAUCUGCAUUUAAUUUAGGAAUAUUGAGUUCCAUUAGGGUAUAUCCUUAUUAUUUUUUAUUUUAUUUAUUCUUUUAAAAUUUUGUAUCAAAGAAUACUUGAUUUACAAUGUUAUUCCAAUUUUUGCUGUACAGCAAAGUGAUCCAGUCAUAAAUAUAUGUACAUUCCUUUUCUUACAUUAUCUUCCAUCAUGGUCUAUCUGAAGAGAUUGGAUAUAUAGUUCUUUGUACUAUACAGUAGGACGUUACUGUUUAUCCAUUCUUUUUUUUUUUUUUUUUCUUUUUUUUUUUUUUUUUUUUGUCUUUUGUCUUUUUGUUGUUGUUGCUGCUAUUUCUUGGGCCGCUCCCACGGCAUAUGGAGGUUCCCAGGCUAGGGGUUGAAUCGGAGCUGGAGCCACCAGCCUACACCAGAGCCACAGCAACGCGGGAUCCAAGCCGCGUCUGCAGCUUACACCACAGCUCGCGGCAACGCCAGAUCCUUCACCCACUGAGCAAAGCCAGGGAUCGAACCCGCAACCUCAUGGUUCCUAGUCGGAUUCGUUAACCACUGCGCCACGACGGGAACUCCCACUGUUUAUCCAUUCUAAAUGUUAUAGUUUGCAUCUACCAACCCUGAACUUUCAGCCCAUCAUACUCCCUCUCCCUCCCCUUUGGCAACAAAUCUGUUCUCUAUAUCUGUGAGCCUGUUUCUAUUUUGUAGAUAGGUUUAUUUGUGCCAUAGUUUAGAUUCCACAUAUAAGUCACAUCAAAUGAUAUUUAUCUCUCUUUAUGACUUCACUUAUUAUGAGAAGCUCUAGUUGCAUCCAUGUUGCUGCAAAUGGCAUUACUUCAGUCUUUCUCAUGGCUGAGUAGUAAUCCAUUCUACAUAUGUACCAUGUCUUCUUUAAUCCAUUCAUCUGGCAAUGGACAUUUAGGUUGUUUUCACGCCUUGGCUAUUGUAAAUAGUGCUGCAAUGAAUAUAAGGGUGCAUGUAUCUUUUUAAUUAUAGUUUUUUCUGAAUAUAUGCCCAGGAGUGGGAUUGUUGGAUCAUAUGGUGGUUCUGUAUAAGUUUUCUAAGGUACCUCCAUGCUGUUUCCAUAGUGGUUGUACAUUCCCACCAACAGGGUAGGAGGGUUCCCACAUAUCAAAAAAUAGUGGUACUGCACAGUUCCACAGCCUGACAGUAAACGUCACUCUGUUAAAGAAGGAAGGUGCAUGUUAAUUGAGGACACUGCAGACUAAGGAAAAAGAGCCAGAGGAGCUGAAAAUAGAGUAAAUGUGCUCCCUGUGUGCUCUUAGGCUAAUCACAUAACCUUUCAGAAUCCCAGUUGUCUCAUUGGUUAAUAAGGGAUAACAGUACCUACCUUGCAGAACAGGGUUGGUGGAUAGGACUAACAUCAAAGAAAAGCUUAGCUCAGGCCUGGGACCAAGGAGGUGGCAGCACAGAUCUCCAACAUCAUCCAGAGGCAGGUAAUGAGGCUGGGAGGGGAACCUGAUCAGUCCUCACCCCCUAAACUCAGCCAACUGGAGAAAAUAUAUGCUAUCACAAUUAAGAGCCUAAGAACCUUAACGGCUGUAAGCUACCUGUGUGGCCAUUAUCUGCCUUAUUCUCAUGAGGAGGAAAGGAUUUAUUUACAAUGUAUUUUGGGAAAGUUUGUGAUCUCCUCAAGGCCAGGAAAAACAAUCGUUUUAUUAAUUUUUAACUCCCCAGGGCUAUGUGACUGGUAAGAGGUAAAAUUACUAUUCAAACUCAGACAGUAUGGCCACAGAACCAGAACUCUUAACCACUUCACUAUACUUCCUCUGGGAACCAGCCCUGAAUUACUUGUAAAGGCUGCAAAAUGACAUUAUGGUAUUAAUGGCAUUAAUAAGUCUAAAACAGCCAAACUCAGAUUUUGAUUUGGUUGUUGGAACCAAAUUCAGCUAGAUCGCUGAGCUCUCUAAUUAACUCCAAACUCAUCAAGCAGUGGCUGAGAAGAGUCCUCAGCCAUUUUAAGUGGGUGUACUUCAAAAGCCAUGGCUGAGGGAACCGAAGAUGGCGGAAUAGAAGGACUGGAGCUCAACUUCUCUCCUAAAAACAAAAAAAUUCACAACUAAAGACUGAGCACACUUCACCAAAAUGGACCGGAAACCUUAAAAAAGAUACCCUACUCCAGAAGAAAAAGAGGACACAUCAAGAGGUAGGAGGGGUGAUUUCACGAUAUAAACAACCCCAUACCUCCUGGGUGGGAAGCUCCAUAGACUGGAAAAUAACUGGUUCACAGAGACUCAUCUACAGGAGUGAGAGUUCUGAGCCACACAUCAAACUCUCAUGUGUGGGGAUCUGGCACAGGGAGAAAGAGCCCCGGAGUAUCUGGCAUUGAAGGCCAGUGGGGCUUGUGUGCAAGAGCUCCACGGGACUGGGGGAAACAGAGACCCCAUUCUUAAAAGGCACACACAGACUUUCACGUGCACUGAGUCCCAGGGCAAAGCAAAGUCUCCAAGGGAAUCUGGGUCAAACCUGACCACAGUUCUUGGAGGACAUCCUGGGAAAACAGGGGUGAAUGUGGCUUGUUGUGAGGGAAGGACACUGAAGGCAAAGCUCUCGGGAAUAUUCAGCAUUAGUGACUUUCUCUGGAGGUGGCUAUUUUGGGAAAAUCUGGCCCCACCCAUCAGCCAGCCACUGAGAAGCCCCAGGGCAAACAACCCAGGUGGGAUCACAGCCCCACCAUCAAUAAACAGGCUGCCUAAAGACCCCUCAGUCACACAGCUGCCACUAAUCCCAUCCAGAGACUAAGCCCCACCCACCAGAGGGAUUAGAAUCGGCUCCUCCUACCAGGGGGCAGGCAUCAGCCCCUCCCAUCAGGAA
This 3173-nucleotide long non-coding RNA is filed under the name Sus scrofa (pig). Its description in RNAcentral is "lncRNA (ENSSSCG00050017655.1)". Lineage: Eukaryota; Metazoa; Chordata; Mammalia; Artiodactyla; Suidae. The record is from RNAcentral.